Molecule: small nuclear RNA, 119 nt
Organism: Heterocephalus glaber (naked mole-rat)
Lineage: Eukaryota; Metazoa; Chordata; Mammalia; Rodentia; Bathyergidae
Gene: U2
Rfam family: U2 spliceosomal RNA
About the family: U2 is a small nuclear RNA (snRNA) component of the spliceosome (involved in pre-mRNA splicing).
Source: Ensembl
AUUGCUUCUUGGCCUUUUGGCUAAGAUCAAGUGUAAUUUAAUUUUCAGAUUUUUUACCUGAAUGGCUUGCAAAUUUCAAGAUAUUGAUCUAUAUUUUCCCAGAAUAAAUGAGGCUUUUC